Salmo salar (Atlantic salmon) is the source of this 72-nucleotide non-coding RNA. Lineage: Eukaryota; Metazoa; Chordata; Actinopteri; Salmoniformes; Salmonidae. The record is from Rfam.
UCCCGUGUGGCUCAGUUGGUAGAGCAUGGUGUUUGCAACGCCAGGGUUGUGGGUUUGAUUCCCACGUGGGAC